RNAcentral lists this ribosomal RNA (513 nucleotides) under uncultured bacterium. RNAcentral describes it as "partial 16S ribosomal RNA". It matches the Rfam family "Bacterial small subunit ribosomal RNA", at positions 28 to 507 of the family's 1533-position model. The record is from RNAcentral.
GACGAACGCUGGCGGCGUGCUUAACACAUGCAAGUCGAACGAAAAGAGGGAAAGAGCUUGCUCUUUCCGGAAUUGAGUGGCAAACGGGUGAGUAACACGUAAACAACCUGCCUUCAGGAUGGGGACAACAGACGGAAACGACUGCUAAUACCGAAUAAGUUCCAAGAGCCGCAUGGCCCAUGGAAGAAAAGGUGGCCUCUACCUGUAAGCUAUCGCCUGAAGAGGGGUUUGCGUCUGAUUAGCUGGUUGGAGGCGUAACGGCCCACCAAGGCGACGAUCAGUAGCCGGUCUGAGAGGAUGAACGGCCACACUGGAACUGAGACACGGUCCAGACUCCUACGGGAGGCAGCAGUGGGGAAUCUUCCGCAAUGGGCGAAAGCCUGACGGAGCAACGCCGCGUGAGUGAUGACGGCCUUCGGGUUGUAAAACUCUGUGAUCCGGGACGAAAAGGCAGAGUGCGAAGAACAAACUGCAUUGACGGUACCGGAAAAGCAAGCCACGGCUAACUACGUG